Molecule: non-coding RNA, 30 nt
Filed under: Mus musculus (house mouse)
Lineage: Eukaryota; Metazoa; Chordata; Mammalia; Rodentia; Muridae
Source: RNAcentral
UCCGUGUAUGCAUGUGGGUGUCUUACUAAU